GUACUGUGCAAACGUUAUUCGGAAUCACUGGGCCUAAAGGGUGCGUAGGCGGUGAUUUAAGUAGGGUGUGAAAUCCCUCGGCUCAACCGAGGAACUGCGCUCUAAACUGAAUCACUUGAGUAAGAUAGGGGUGUGCGGAACUUCCGGUGGAGCGGUGAAAUGUGUUGAUAUCGGAAGGAACGCCAGUAGCGAAAGCGGCACACUGGGUCUUAACUGACGCUGAGGCACGAAAGCCAGGGUAGCGAACGGGAUUAGAUACCCCGGGUAGUCCUGGCUGUAAACGAUGAGCACUAGUUGGAAGGCGCUUACGCAUUUUCCAACGUAGCAAACGUAUUAAGUGCUCCGCCUGGGGAGUAUGGUCGCAAGGCUG
RNAcentral lists this ribosomal RNA (370 nucleotides) under uncultured organism. Its description in RNAcentral is "partial 16S ribosomal RNA". It matches the Rfam family "Bacterial small subunit ribosomal RNA", at positions 527 to 896 of the family's 1533-position model. The record is from RNAcentral.